AUGAUGUGGUUUCAAGAGCAACCCGAUCUCUCACUCAGGCCGCAGUCCAUGCAUGCAGCAGGCGGGCUGUGCUCACUGCAGUCCCCUGACCAGCCUGACAGUUAUUGGUUACCUGGCCUGAGGGGAAGCACCGUGGAGGGUCUUCGCACUGGCAGGGGAAAGAGUGAAUGCCAGUUGAGCCCUCACUAUAAAAGACAUGGCUGCUCACAAAUGCUCCACUGCGAAUUCCUCAGGAAUCUUGAAAUUGGUGGUGGAAUCUCCAUUUUACAGGUGAGGUGACUGAGGCUGAGAAUGAAGGAAGCCAGCUUUCUAGCUAUGUGACCUUGGGCAACCUCUCUGUUUAGUCUCUGCAAAAUACAAAAAAUUAGCCAGGCGUGGUGGCAGGUGCCUGUAAUCCCAGGUACUGGGGAGUCUGAGGCAGGAGAAUUGCUUGAAUCUGGGAGGUGGAGGUUGCAGUGAGCUGAGAUCACACCAUUGUACUCCAGCCUGGGCAACAAGACCAAAACUCAGUCUCAAAAAAAAAAAAUUUAAAAUUUAGUGAGCAUGGUUGUGCACACCUGUAGCAGUGCCUUUAGCAUGACUUGAUAGCAUCUCAUAGGGUUGUGAGGAUUAACCAGUUUAUAGGCAGCAUUUUGAACAUCAGUAGCUUGGCACAGAAUGUGAGCUAAAUAUGCUUCAUGUUUUUACUGCUACAGUCAUGAUCAAUAUCUGACUAACUUUGAGACACUAUAGGAAGCAAAACUAACUUCUCUUUCCCUUUCUUCUGUCUUCCAAUAUAGAUGCAACAACAUUUUCCUCACUUCCUGGAAAUGGCUCUGUUCUAGCCUUUCAACAUUAUCCAGGAGGUAAGAUCUCUUAAUUGGAGAAUACUAAAUCUAUUCCCAAUCUAUUGAUCAUGUUUAGAGACCUGAAUCCCCAUAAACCCAUCUUUUAAACUAAUGGCAGAAAACAGGUGUGUACUCAGGAUGCAAAGCAUGAUCUUUGACUAGUCAUGUCAGGAAAUGGACAAAAUCAAUCUUUCUGAUCCAGAUUUCAAGCUGUAUACUGUCCCAACUUUACAAAUGUACCAAUUCAACAUAUUUUUUGUUGUUUGUAGUGUAUUAUGUCUAAGGUUUUGUAUUUCUCAAGCUUAAUCUGAACAACAGUAUUACCCAGGGGCCAUUGUCUCCAAAUCCAUUCGCAAGUCUAGUAUAAACUUAAACAUAAAGCAUGUUCUUAUCUUGCAUCUAGGUCAGUUUGAGGGUAAAAAUCCCAACCAAGCAUGUGAUACUGAAGCACUAUUGGGAUGCUUUGUUGAUGGGGCUUUUUAUUCCUCCCUGUCUUCUGCAGAUGUCUUAGUGACAGUGAUGUUUAAGUUAGAGCACCUCCGGCCGGGCGCGGUGGCUCAAGCCUGUAAUCCCAGCACUUUGGGAGGCCGAGGUGGGCGGAUCACAAGGUCAAGAGAUUGAGACCAUCCUGGUCAACAUGGUGAAACCCCGUCUCUACUAAAAAUAAAAAAAAAAAAAUUAGCUGGGUGUGGUGGCAUGUGCCUGUAGUCCCAGCUACUCGGGAGGCUGAGGCAGGAGAAUUGCUUGAACACAGGAGGCGGAGGUUGCAGUGAGCUGAGAUUGUGCCAUUGCACUCCAGCCUGGGCAACAAGAGUGAAACUCCGUCUGAAAAAAAAAGAGCACCUCCAAGAAUCUUAGUGUUGAAUCUUCCAAAGUGUUCAAAUAUGUGGUAAGAUAAAUUAAGCAGAAGCUAAGUUGAGGGUUGGACUGUGUGCUGUUGGCCUCUUGUUCUAGUGACAAGGUCAGCAGUCCCUGUGGGCAUCUCAGUUCCAGCCCCUGCACAGGCAUGUGUUCACACACUCACAUGCACACAGAUGCUCCUGGCUUUUGGUUCUUUCCCAGGUAGGAAUCUGUUCUUUACACCCUGACUUGCUGAUCUGUCUUCUAGCAGGGAUCCAAGAACAUUACUGAGGGGCAACAGGACUUUGGGUGGGGGUAACAGACUGGGAUUGAGGUGAUCAGAUUCUAGUCUCAGAUGAGUCCCUAAUAGGGUUUUGGACAAAAUCUCCAUUCUGAAUUUGUUUUCUUAGCUCUAUAAAGUCUACACGUAAGUUUAACGAGGUUUUAGUUCUAGUUUCUAACUGAGACCUACUUGAUGAGGAACACUAUUACGACCAUUACCACCAGCAACAGCAUCGUUAUUCUUUCUCUGAACUGGUGGUUGACCUGUUUUGGAGAAGUGAUUGUGAAGAUUAAAUGAGUUAAUAUGACAAGUUUCAAACAGUGCGUUGGCAUGGCAUAUAAUACAAUCUGUAAAGUAUUAGUAGUGAUGAGAGGACAUUGCUUACAGGGUUGUGAAUUGUGAUAUGCCUCUUGGAAAACAGGGCAACAGACAUAUCAAGAGCCAAAACAAAUGGCUGUCAAACCAGAGAUCCCACUUCCAGAAAUCCCAAAAUAUAUAACGUUGGAAAACUCAUACCAAACAUAUUCAUCACAGGAUUAUUACAUACAUUUUCAAAAGAGUGGCUAAGAAGAUCAAAUAAAUUAGGAGACCAUCUACUUGACUCACUCCUUUGUAGCCACUAAAAGACUAAUAGCAAUGCAAAAAAACAAAAAGAGAUACAAACCUGCACGCCUUUGACAUAACUACAAUUACAUAGUUAUAUAGUAAUAUACAAUUAUGAACAUUGUAAAACUGACAUAUAUCCUGGAGUACAUGGCCUUUGGUGUUAUGAGUCUUCCUUUCUCCUUCAUAGCUAACAAGGAGGUCUGCAACAUACGCUAUAGGUAGUCAAAUGCAACCAGAAGUGGGAAGAGAAGACGCAAAGGCUCUUUACUUUUUGUCAAGACCCGACUUGACUUUAAUGAUCAAUAAGUGUCCACUCAGCAGUUAUUUCCUGGAAUUAGUUGCCUUUAACUUUUGUUCUUAAAGUCUGUUCAGAAGAAUACACUCCUAAGCAACCUGUCUACAUGAUGCCAGGGUUCAUUGGGUCUUUUUUUGGCAACACUCCAAAGUAUUCUCAAUCCGAAGGCAGCCUCCACAAUCUGUUGGUAGGAACGUGUUGACUGUUGACUAGUACUAAUAACAAACAAAGACAGUCUUAUGCCUUCAUAAUCUCUAAUCUUGCUUGCAGAUCUUUGGGGAAAAAAACUAUUCACUCCAGAAUGAUGAAGGCAAGCUAGCUAGAAUGGAAAAGAAAGUGUUCUUGAGGUUUAGUGGUUUUAUUCAAGAUGUGCUGGGCC
This 3230-nucleotide long non-coding RNA is filed under the name Callithrix jacchus (white-tufted-ear marmoset). RNAcentral describes it as "lncRNA (ENSCJAG00000071113.1)". The record is from RNAcentral. Lineage: Eukaryota; Metazoa; Chordata; Mammalia; Primates; Cebidae.